CUGAUAAUACAUAAACAUGUUUUAUGUGUGUUUAUGCUGAAAGACCCCUUGUUUAAUAUAUAUCUUGUUGCUUCCUUACCUUUGGACUCAUGGCAAGUAGCACCAUAACUCAUGGCUGGACGAAGCUUCUGUGGCACAGGUGUUUUCUCUAUAAGGCGCAUCACAACCUUCUUGGGCUCAGGAGCAGUGGACAGCAGCACUUCAGCAUUAUGUUUGGGGGCCGUUUUCAACAGGAACAUCACAAAAAAAAGCAAAAACUGUGUAAAGGCAUGUCACUUAAACUACAAAUUUGCAGUAUGAGAGUGAAGCUAGGAGGGAAAGUGUCACCUUGUUCAACUCUGCUGGGAACAUGUGUGUCGGAAAACUCAAAUUUUUUGUUCUGCACACGUCCGUGAAUGACCACAGAGGUGCCUGUGAGUGCUGAUCUGAGGGUUGCAAAUACAUUUUGGCAGGUAGGUGAGUUUGCAAAUAUAGAAUCUGACUAUAUAGCAUUGACUAUAAUUUCAAAAUCAGUGUUAAAAGAUAAACUAGGAGUGGGAGUGGGGUGCAAAAUGGCAGCAGGUUUUCUGGGAAUCUCCAGCACAUUUGGGAUGGCUCACUCAGCAGCUCCAUGUACAGACCCCAUGGUAUCAGCUUGCCUUCAUGUUGGAGGGGCAAGGAGGACGAAGAGCGGAGGGGUGGCUCCUGGAGCAGUAAGGAGAAAAUGAGGUCAUGGUGUCAGGCACCAAGGAUCCAGGAAGUGAGGGUACAAAAAGCACUGGGAGAAUUCUCUGGAAUCAGGAUGACUGAGCAUGAACACCUCGGGCUGGGAAGAGGAAGAGGAGCAGGAAGAACAAGGCCACUGUGAAGGGCAGAACCACCCUGUGAUUUGGGUCAGGGCAGAGAAAGCUCAGACAGACUAGCCCUUUGGCACAGGGCUAGGGCUGCUACCCUCCCGCUUUGAGUCCUGGAAGUGCGUUUUUUACUUUUUCAGCCAGUUGUGCCACCCUCUGUGAGCCGCAGGAGAGAGGACAGCAGUGGGUUCCUGUUCCACCCGUUCAGAGCACAUUAGGGUUGUCUAGGGUAGAGGCCUCACACCAUGGCCUUUCUCAUAGAUGACUUAAGGAAGGAUGUAGAACUGGUUUUCAGUCACAAAGAGAAAAUUAAAGCUGGAGAUUUGAUCCUACAAGAGGUCUUUGAACUUAUAAAUGCAGAUGCAUAUGUGUCAAGAAUGGGGACUGGCAAAGACUGUAUCCGUAGUUUGAACUUAAUAGUUUUUGGUAUGUACUUGAAAAGAUAAAAUAUCCCAGGAUGUUUAACUUUAGAGAGUCAUUCUAUUGUGUUGCACAGUAAAUGAUUUUCACAAGGUUUUGGCUGAGAUACUCAGUAUCAAUAUGCAGGAAUGGUUUCAAUAUGUGGUAGGCCAGUAAAAACAAAGUCACCGUGACCCGCGCUUUGCAGUUCUAAGAGGGACAGAAGCGCAAGUAGUGAUCAUUAAUUCCAGUUUGGGGGACCACUGUAACUGCAGCCGCACACCUCCAGCCUGCCCCCGGCUCUGUGUCCCCUUAGGGAGGGAAGCAUACUGCUGCACUCGGUGGCUUCUGAGGAGGACACAGACAUGACAUGGUUAUGUGGCAAGGCCUGAGCCUAGGCCCUUUGGAACUGGGGAGUUGUGGUUUCAUGUGGAAUCAUGGAAUCCAUAGAAUUGGCCACUGGGCUUGGAAAACUCACAUUAGCAGUGAGCCUCAUCCAGGGGAAAUAGGACCUCCCUACUUGCCCCCUCUGGUUGCUGCUGGCUCUGCAGGCAGGAGUGUUGCCCAGAGCCUUUGACUCACUUCCCUGCCUCCGGGGCAGUCAGAUCCAAGUACUGGAGUGAGGAAGGCCUCUGUUACUAUCUGCACUCCCUUCCUCUUCUCCCCUGGUGGGGAUGGGGGAUAGCUUUCCUUCCUGGUGUUAAAAUGGAGCGAAGCAUGUGGGAGGGCAGAGGUUCAGGUAAGAAAAGUGAGGAUGGUAUCUGGAAGCCUACACACCAUACUCAAAUAGUGCUCAAAAUACGAACGCUUUGUUUUUUAUUUUUUAUUGAGUUAUAGUUAAUUGACGUGUAACAUUUUUAGGUGUACAAUAUAAUGAUUCAGUAUUUGUUUACAUGGUGAAAUGAUCACUGUAAGUCUGGUUAACACCUAUAACCAUGGAGACAAUUUUUUGUAAUUGAUAUUAUCUUGUACUGAAGCCCCUAUUUGUACAGAGUCACUAAAAAAUUAUAUAUACCCACUUAAGAAAUUGAAUUCUUCUGGUUUGAAGCAAUAUUUUCCAGGUAAGCUCAGAUUCUGCAGGCUUUAGCUUUUUUUUUUUUUUUUUUUUCCCUCAGCCCUUCUCCUUCUCUCAGCUCCUCGUGUCCUUCUCUCUGAGUGACAUCUGGUUUCAGGGAAAGGCUUACAUAACAUUAUCAACAUCGAGGGCAGGGCCAGGAUGUGUUGUACACAUGUUGUCCUUCUCUGCAGGCUGCUGUUGAUUUCUCUUCGAGGUGUAGCUAAUCUUCUCUCUCUUUGGGAGUUCGUUUCUGCUCAGGGCAGAUUGUCAGUGGUAGGUGUCUCAUGAUGGUCCAGGUGGGCCCAAGCAGUGCCUAGUGGUACCCCAGGAUGAGCAUCCUCCACUUUGCCUGUCACCGCUAUGGACCCUCUGAUGCUUAGCCAGAUACUCGCAUCAGAACUGGUCUUAGGUGGCCUGUUUUUUAGCUUCUGCUAUAGGAUUCUCUUGCCACAUGCCAGGCAACCUCUUGCAAACACUCUCUUAAUUCUUGGCUGCCUUCUCCUGUGUCCACCACAGGGCUCCUGGGGAACUUCUAGAUGUCCUCAUGUCCAGUGUAGCCCAUGGAGAAACAAGAAAAUUUUAACUCUGGCCCAUCUGCUUCGGCAUUUCCCCUGGCCAGUGAUAAUCUGCUGUCCUCAACUGCAUGGAAUCGUGUGUGUGUGUGUGUGUACGUACAUGGGCCAGCCUAACUAUUUUUUGUGUUUACCAGUUUAUUUAAAGGAUCUAGUAAAGGGUGUAGGAGAACACCUAGAUGAAAGAGGCAUGCAGGGGAAGGUAUGUGGGAAAGGGUGUGGAGCUUUCAUGCCCUCUCCAGGUGCAGCACCCUCCCAGCACCUCCAUGUGCUCACCAGUCUGGAAACUCUGAAGCCUAUCAUUUAGGAUUCUUAUGGAAGAUUCAUUAUAUAGGGGCAUUGAUUAAAUCACUGGCCUAAAUAUUUUUGGAUUUGCCUAUUUGCCCAUCUGGAAUGUUUUUCACCUCCUUCUCCCUCUUCUUCCAGGGCCAAGCCUGUGGUAGGUGAGGAGAUGGGUGGAAAGUUUACCUACUUCUCCUUCUGUCUGGCAGGAAUUGCCUUACAUCUUGUUCUCUGUGCCCUCUGCAUUGUGGCUAAUGCUCAACCUCCAUGCUUAGUCCCCUGAGCUUUGUUCUUAAUUUGUACAAAGAUGCUUUUUGAGUAGAAAUAAUCCUUUUUUUCUCCUUCAACAAAACUGACUUCUAAGAUAGUAGUUUCUAACUUGAGAAAUCUAAU
This 3536-nucleotide long non-coding RNA is filed under the name Sus scrofa (pig). RNAcentral's name for it is "lncRNA (ENSSSCG00000056305.1)". The record is from RNAcentral. Lineage: Eukaryota; Metazoa; Chordata; Mammalia; Artiodactyla; Suidae.